AUGCGACUGUCCGGCGUGACUUGCUAAAAGUGGGUUACCAAAAUUAUUGUCGAAUCGAUGGACAAACACACAGCGGACAUUAGGGUGAACAAUUAUGCCAGAACAAGUAUAUAAGCUAAUAAUUUUGAAGAUUUUUUAAAACUUCACGUAAGCGGCUCCAAAGGUAUCCGGUGGCAAGGUUUCUAGGUACUUGAAGUCAAUGGUGCUGGUGUGGAUGCGGGGCUUAUCGGCCAUGAUGCGCUGACCCUCCUCGCUGGCCUGCAUGGUGUCCAAAAUAGUCCACAGAGCAUCCUCUCCAGUCGUCUCACCCAAACAGGCGAUCAUGUCAUGGCUUAAAGAGUAUCAAUUAUAACAAUUACCGAGUUUAAA
Drosophila santomea is the source of this 369-nucleotide long non-coding RNA. RefSeq lists it as uncharacterized. The transcript has 2 exons. The record is from RefSeq and is a predicted model, not a curated record. Lineage: Eukaryota; Metazoa; Arthropoda; Insecta; Diptera; Drosophilidae.